GAAGCCUUUCGGGGUGGAUUAGUGGCGAACGGGUGAGUAAACGAGGGCAAUCUGCCCUGUACUUUGGGAUAAGCCUGGGAAACUGGGUCUAAUACCGGAUAUGACUGGGCCUCGCAUGGGGUUUGGUGGAAAGCUCCGGCGGUACAGGAUGAGCCCGCGGCCUAUCAGCUUGUUGGUGGGGUAAUGGCCUACCAAGGCGACGACGGGUAGCCGGCCUGAGAGGGUGACCGGCCACACUGGGACUGAGACACGGCCCAGACUCCUACGGGAGGCAGCAGUGGGGAAUAUUGCACAAUGGGCGCAAGCCUGAUGCACCGACGCCGCGUGAGAGAUGACGGCCUUCGGGUUGUAAACCUCUUUCGCCAGGGACGAAGCGCAAGUGACGGUACCUGGAU
This 395-nucleotide ribosomal RNA is filed under the name Amycolatopsis sp. MBRL 57. Its description in RNAcentral is "bacterial SSU rRNA". It matches the Rfam family "Bacterial small subunit ribosomal RNA", at positions 76 to 484 of the family's 1533-position model. The record is from RNAcentral. Lineage: Bacteria; Bacillati; Actinomycetota; Actinomycetes; Pseudonocardiales; Pseudonocardiaceae.